UACGUAGGCAGCAAGCGUUGUUCGGAGUUACUGGGCGUAAAGGGUGUGUAGGCGGUUUGGUAAGUGUGGGGUGAAAUCUCCCGGCUCAACUGGGAGGGUGCGCUACAAACUGUCUGACUAGAGUGUGGGAUGGGAAAGUGGAAUUCCUGGUGUAGCGGUGAAAUGCGUAGAUAUCAGGAGGAACACCGGUGGUGUAGACGGCUUUCUGGACCAUAACUGACGCUGAGACACGAAAGCGUGGGUAGCAAACAGG
RNAcentral lists this ribosomal RNA (253 nucleotides) under uncultured bacterium. RNAcentral describes it as "partial 16S ribosomal RNA". It matches the Rfam family "Bacterial small subunit ribosomal RNA", at positions 524 to 776 of the family's 1533-position model. The record is from RNAcentral.